RNAcentral lists this ribosomal RNA (468 nucleotides) under uncultured bacterium. Its description in RNAcentral is "partial 16S ribosomal RNA". It matches the Rfam family "Bacterial small subunit ribosomal RNA", at positions 28 to 507 of the family's 1533-position model. The record is from RNAcentral.
GACGAACGCUGGCGGCGUGCUUAACACAUGCAAGUCGAACGGAAAGGCCCUGCUUUUGUGGGGUGCUCGAGUGGCGAACGGGUGAGUAACACGUGAGUAACCUGCCCUUGACUUUGGGAUAACUUCAGGAAACUGGGGCUAAUACCGGAUAGGAGCUCCUGCUGCAUGGUGGGGGUUGGAAAGUUUCGGCGGUUGGGGAUGGACUCGCGGCUUAUCAGCUUGUUGGUGGGGUAGUGGCUUACCAAGGCUUUGACGGAUAGCCGGCCUGAGAGGGUGACCGGACACAUUGGGACUGAGAUACGGCCCAGACUCCUACGGGAGGCAGCAGUGGGGAAUAUUGCACAAUGGGCGGAAGCCUGAUGCAGCAGCGCCGCGUGCGGGAUGACGGCCUUCGGGUUGUAAACCGCUUUCGCCUGUGACGAAGCGUGAGUGACGGUAAUGGGUAAAGAAGCACCGGCUAACUACGUG